RNAcentral lists this ribosomal RNA (442 nucleotides) under uncultured bacterium. Its description in RNAcentral is "partial 16S ribosomal RNA". It matches the Rfam family "Bacterial small subunit ribosomal RNA", at positions 338 to 795 of the family's 1533-position model. The record is from RNAcentral.
CCUACGGGAGGCAGCAGUGGGGGAUAUUGCACAAUGGGGGAAACCCUGAUGCAGCGACGCCGCGUGGGCGAAGAAGUAUUUCGGUAUGUAAAGCCCUAUCAGCAGGGAAGAAGAAAUGACGGUACCUGACUAAGAAGCCCCGGCUAACUACGUGCCAGCAGCCGCGGUAAUACGUAGGGGGCAAGCGUUAUCCGGAUUUACUGGGGGUAAAGGGGGCGCAGACGGCAGCGCAAGCCAGGAGUGAAAGCCCGGGGCCCAACCCCGGGACUGCUCUUGGAACUGCGCGGCUGGAGUGCAGGAGGGGCAGGCGGAAUUCCUGGUGUAGCGGUGAAAUGCGUAGAUAUCAGGAGGAACACCGGUGGCGAAGGCGGCCUGCUGGACUGCGACUGACGUUGAGGCCCGAAAGCGUGGGGAGCAAACAGGAUUAGAUACCCCAGUAGUC